Molecule: long non-coding RNA, 3460 nt
Organism: Anguilla anguilla (European eel)
Lineage: Eukaryota; Metazoa; Chordata; Actinopteri; Anguilliformes; Anguillidae
Exons: 4
Source: RefSeq, a predicted model, not a curated record
UUUAAAUAACUUUGCAGUUCAUUGGUAAACGAAGUGAUGCCGCUUGCCAGACCGAGACACGCACCCGUGACGUGGGUUGUCAAACGGAACCAAGAUGGGGUUUCAGAACAGUGGGCACACAGCUCGCAGAACGCAUACGGUUCAACAGGGAAAGCAAGGAACUUGCAUGUGGGACUAAAAAGUGGGAGUGGGGUCCAGCUGGAUGUACCUGUGGGAGAAUCCCGCAGCAUCAUUGAAUCUAAAACAACUUAAAUGAGAACCAGGUAAAUGAAUCAGACAUUUCUUUUAAUCUGUUCUUUUUAAGCUUAACUUUUAACAAUCUCUUUAAUCAUGUUAUAUCUAAAUGUAAAACACUUUGUAACCGUGCUUUUAAAAAGUGCAAUCCAAAAUAAGUUGUCAAAAAUUGUUUUAUCCUUUGAGACCCUUUUUGAGGAUUUUUCACUAUCCUCAAUUUGGAUUAAAAAGGUUUAUAUAAUAGAUAACCACUCAUUUUUUUUACAAGGCUUGUUCCUAUCAGGAAAUGUCACAUUUUGGCCUGGAUAUGAUAUCAAUUAGUUCCUAAGUGCUAUUGAGAUGCUUAAUUACAAAUAGCACUCUGGCCGUGUUACUUGCACUACUCCUGCACACUUGCACACUUGCACACUUGCACAUUUGCACAUUUGCACAAUUGCACAUUUGUACUUGAUAUGAAUUUACAUUUCCCUGCACUAGCUCAGUGAUUUAAUUGUGUUGAUGUUGUCGUGAUGUUGUCCUUUUGUAUUCUGUCUUUAUGUGAACCCUGGCUGCAAAACAAAUUUUCCCCUAGUGGGACAAUAAAGAUAACCUUGAACCUUGGUAGGCCCUAUUAUUUGAGGAAAAAAAUAAUUUUUGCUUGCUAAAAAAAUGCAUUCACUUGACUAUAUCACCUAAGCCAAAAGUGUCAGCUGAAUUAUAUCAUCUUACAUUUUAAGAAUAGGUUGUAUGAAGUAUUAAUAUCAUAGAGUCAUGUCAAUAGAACAUAUAAUUGCUGUAUAAUGGGUAAAAUUAUAAAUAGAGUACCUGGCAGAAAUGUGUUCAGAGAACUGAAAUGGUAAAGUCAAUUAUUUUCUUUUAUUUUGAUGAUACUGCAACCAGUUCAAACAAGAAUUAUGUUUAACAAUAAUAAAUUAUAAAAGAAAAAUUAAUUAGCAUGAUAUAUAACCUGGUAACCCACAUUGAAACUGGUUAACAUUUGUUAGGAUCGCACAGGGUUAAAUUUUUGUCCCCAAUGUUUGUUUUUUUAUAUUGAACUUUUGAUACAUAAUGGUCAGGCUUAUGUACUGUAUUCCUAUUGGUUAAUCGGUUGUGAUCAGGCAUCCUUUUUUGGUUUUGACGUGAUUGACUGUGCAUUUUUAGUUUGUUACAUUGUUUUAAAAUGAUGUCUGGGUUGGAGUGUGUUUAAGAGGAAAAAAAAGAUUUUGAGGUCCUUCUUUGUGAGAGUUGGAGCUGUGGAGAGUUGGGAGAAGGAUGAAGGAGGUUGGUGAGACCUAGGCUAAUGGCAGGCGAAUUGGCUGGCGAAUGCUCGUACCCUGGAGAGGACCUACCUGGGGAUCUACCUGGGCGUUUCUCAAAAGAUUGUCUCCAACGCUGGAAUCUCCAAGUUCUUCCUCGCCAAUUCUCUGCAGAACUGUGUGGGCAGCUACUGUCAAGCUCAUGAAGUUCAUAGAAUCUGCAACAGGUGUGCAACACAAAUUGACAGAGGUCCACUUGGGAUUUCUCUCUCUAUGGGCUUUGUCUGCACCAUAGGCUCUGGGGCCGGAAGCACCUGACCUGCACCACAGGAAGAGAAGUUACAUGACUCAAACUACCUAGGAAGCGAGUUCUUUUGGGUAAACAAACAAGUGUGAGGUUUCUUCAAUAUACAAAGCUAAAGCUGAGAUAUAUCAAUGUUUUAUAACUACAAUAAUUUCAAUAUAAGCUAUGUUAGCAUGCAAGCUUUUGUAUAAUGCUUUGGUGAGGUGACAUUGUCUGGUAAUGCUUGUUAAACUUAUGCAUAUGUUGGUGAGCCUUAGUCGUUGUCAACUCAGUGUUGCUUUAGCAAAUGUGUAUUGAGUGCGGGCUAAUGCACAUGUAGACUACCAUGACAUUAGAUGUUCCGUAUACUGAACUCUACAGCCUUUUCCCUCAAACCUUUUCUGGCCUCCUUACAAGCGUUCAUCCAUUUGUGAUGUCAAAGUCACAUUUACUUGAACUGUUCUCCCUUCAAAUAUCCGAAUAUUACAUAGCCUCGGCUAUUUGUUUGCUGCAUCACAGUAGCAUUGUUUGACGGUAAACUAGUCUGAAACACUGGAAGGAAUAUGAUGAUGUUUAUUCUGCAAUAGUUUCCCAAUACCAUUGAUUAUCAUGUGUACCUGUUGGGGGUGCAUAUCACUGGUUUAGAUACAACCUUAAAACCUAGCAGGCAUGUUUUUUCUAGCUAAACUGAAGAGCCCCUUUGUAUGAAGUGAAAUCAUGAUAACUGUCCUUGAAAUUACAAUUUAGGAAAAUUAGAUAAGGACUGCACUUCCAUAAAAUAUUUUCAUAUAUUUUUUAUUUUCACAAACAUUUGGACCAAAACGCCCUUCUUGAGUGUGCGAAGCCACUUCAGGCUACAAGCAUCACCACUCGGCAGUCGGAUUCUGUGAGCUUGUGUGGCCUACCGCUUUGCAGCUGUUGCUCCGAGACAUUUCCACUUCACAACAACAGCCCUUACAGUAGAAUGGGGCAGCUCUGGCAUGGAAGAAAUUUGAUGAACUUACUUGUUGGAAAGGUGACUUCCUAUGACAGCACCACAUUGAAGUCACUGAGCUCUUUAGUAUGACCCAUUCCACGACUAAUGUUUGUCUAUGGAGAUUGCGUGGCUGUAUGCUUGAUUUUAUGCGCCUGUUAGCAAUGGGUGCUGGCUGAAGUAGCCAAACCCACUCCAGUCUCAUGUGACCACCUCAAUUGGAACAGACUAUCCCAUUUCGAUUGAAAAUUCAUUCGGUGUGAAAGGAAUGGUGUAAACCUUUCGAUAAUCAGAUCAAUAGGGUAAUGUUACCCAUGUAAACACUUAAACUGUCUGUGAAAGCACAUUCUCUGUGAACCGUUGUCUGACUUCACAGAAAGUCAUGUUGCUUAUAAUGAAUUAAAUGUUGUUUGAUUCCAUAUGUUAGUCACCAUAUUUAGGCAAACAAAAUGCAUGGAAAAUUUAUGAAUUUCGAAAAGUAAAAUAUGGCUGUAGCAUUGGGUUCAAGCACCUUGCUCAGUGGGCAUUGCUCUAAAACCUCUCUCUCAUCUUCUCCUGUUUAAUUACUGUAGGAGAAUUUCUUUCCGUUGACACUGCUGUCUGUUAUGUAAGAACACUAUCAAUGCAAAUAUUGUACACACCAUACAACGCAUACAGUGGGCUCCAGAAUUAUUGGCACCCUUGAUAAAUAUGCACAAAAAAUUAUUUUAAAAAAUGCUAAACUAAAUAAUACAG